Molecule: non-coding RNA, 1549 nt
Organism: Myodes glareolus (Bank vole)
Lineage: Eukaryota; Metazoa; Chordata; Mammalia; Rodentia; Cricetidae
Source: RefSeq, a predicted model, not a curated record
CCUGCCUCUUUGUUCAUCUGUACGUAACAGACGGGCUUAGUUUCCAGACUGUUGGUGCCUCUCCAUCGGAGGGCUUGGUCCAUCCAGUCCCAGUUUAUUUGUAUCCGAGUCUGUCAUUUCUUCGUUCCCCAUUAUGUCACCCCAGUUAGGUCACUCCCAAAGGCAAGCAGACUGCAAUCACACUUUAUGAAAUAUCACUAUACUAUCUUUGUCCCAAUUUCCCUUGGAAUGAGAGGAAAACCCUCAUCCUGAGCCAAUGACUUCGUCAGAGAAACGAUGAUUGUUUGAAAAGGGAUCCGCUGCUUUCUAUAGGGAUGUGUUUAAAAUGUUGGCCUUCUACAGUAAGGUCAUGAGUCCUUUGACAGGGCAUGGCACCCCAACUCCCUACCCUGGAGAAUGGGUUCCCUUAGGACAGCUUGGCACAGUCUCAUUGCUGUCCCUUGCCUAGAGCACUGGAGCUGGCCUCCGGUGAUAUGGAAGAUGUUUACCUCCAAGGCUCAGUCUCUUCCUCAUUCUCACAGCUGCCACCCCAUCUUCAUUCAGAUAAACCCACACUUUAUAAAAGGAAAGAGCUGUUGUAACUCUUGUUCAGGCACGUGUCUUUUAUUGUGUCCAGUACUGACCCGUUGAAUUGGUUUAGUCUGCUCAAAAUGAACUCCUAAGACAUUCUACUAGCAGCUUCCAAGUCCUCACGGCCUGGCCAACAAUGUGGAGAAGAAGGGUUUGCAUGGGAGACACAGUCGUUGACAGUGGGGAAGGCUGUGUCACAAGUGUGGUCCAGAUGCCAGGCAGAUGGGUGUCUUCCUUUGGAACGGUUGUGUGCUUCAUUCCUGGAAGGGCAGGCUAUUUACUUACUGGAGGUUAUCUUGUUGGUACCAGUCCUUCUAUAAUACUAGAAAUCUUGUUUUUGUUGUGGGUGAGUAUCAACAGAGACCACAGAGAUCUAGAAAUCUAUCACACUUUGUAGCCCUUUCUAGUUCUUAAAAAAUUGAUAUUCCUAUUUGACCUUUGUUCUAGUUGCUCUGAACUAACACCAAAAACACCAAAAGCAACCCAAGUAUGUUACUUUCCUAUUGCUGCGAUAAAACAUGAUGGCCAAAGCAACUUAUAAAGUACAUCAUUUAAUUUGACUUAUGGUUCCAGAGAAUUAGGAUCCAUUAUGGCAGAGUGAAGGAACAUCUGAGAGCUUGCAUCUUGAUCCACAACCACAAAGCAAGGAGAGCUGACUGGCUAUCCCAUGAGUCUUUCAAAAUUUUAAAGCCUGCCCCCAGUGACACACCUCCUCCAAGAAGGCAAUACCUGGCAGAAACUAAAGCUUGGAGGUUGGAUAGCCUGGAGUCCUCAUGCUAGAUGGAGAGCUUCAGCCCCAGACCCUCCAGCACCGGCCGUGGAGAGGAGAGAUGAGAAGCGCUGAGACACUAAGAUUGUUCUCAGAAAUGGUUCUAGCCGUGCGGGAGACGAUAUUACAGAGCUGCGGAUGAAGCAUGGGGAGGAGAUGGUGGAGACCAAUAGCUAUCUGACUUUUAUUAAAUUAUAUUCUCACUGGUCA